GAUGAAGAACGUAGCAAAAUGCGAUAAGUAAUGUGAAUUGCAGAAUUCAGUGAAUCAUCGAAUCUUUGAACGCACAUUGCGCCCGCUGGUAUUCCGGCGGGCAUGCCUGUUCGAGCGUCAUUUCAACCCUCAAGCCCCCGGGUUUGGUGUUGGGGAUCGGCUCUGCCCUUCUGGGCGGUGCCGCCCCCGAAAUACAUUGGCGGUCUCGCUGCAGCCUCCAUUGCGUAGUAGCUAACACCUCGCAACUGGAACGCGGCGCGGCCAUGCCGUAAAACCCCAACUUCUGAAUGUUGACCUCAAAUCAGGUAGGACUACCCGCUGAACUUAAGCAUAUCAAUAAGCGGAGGA
Molecule: unclassified non-coding RNA, 348 nt
Filed under: soil metagenome
Description: partial contains 5.8S ribosomal RNA, internal transcribed spacer 2, and large subunit ribosomal RNA
Rfam family: 5.8S ribosomal RNA (bases 1-120)
Source: RNAcentral